GGAUCAGUGGCGAACGGGUGAGUAACACGUGAGCAAUCUGCCCCUGACUCUGGGAUAACAGUUGGAAACAGCUGCUAAUACCGGAUACGAGACGUGACCGCAUGGUCGACGUUUGGAAAGAAUUUCGGUCAGGGAUGAGCUCGCGGCCUAUCAGCUUGUUGGUGAGGUAAUGGCUCACCAAGGCGUCGACGGGUAGCCGGCCUGAGAGGGUGACCGGCCACACUGGGACUGAGACACGGCCCAGACUCCUACGGGAGGCAGCAGUGGGGAAUAUUGCACAAUGGGCGAAAGCCUGAUGCAGCAACGCCGCGUGAGGGACGACGGCCUUCGGGUUGUAAACCUCUUUUAGCAGGGAAGAAGCGAAAGUGACGGUACCUGCAGAAAAAG
This 387-nucleotide ribosomal RNA is filed under the name Microbacterium sp. KUR17. RNAcentral's name for it is "bacterial SSU rRNA". It matches the Rfam family "Bacterial small subunit ribosomal RNA", at positions 89 to 490 of the family's 1533-position model. Lineage: Bacteria; Bacillati; Actinomycetota; Actinomycetes; Micrococcales; Microbacteriaceae. The record is from RNAcentral.